RNAcentral lists this ribosomal RNA (2023 nucleotides) under Escherichia coli. RNAcentral's name for it is "partial 23S ribosomal RNA". It matches the Rfam family "Bacterial large subunit ribosomal RNA", at positions 168 to 2215 of the family's 2925-position model. The record is from RNAcentral. Lineage: Bacteria; Pseudomonadati; Pseudomonadota; Gammaproteobacteria; Enterobacterales; Enterobacteriaceae. RNAcentral also lists the same sequence under 1 other name.
AGGUUAAUGAGGCGAACCGGGGGAACUGAAACAUCUAAGUACCCCGAGGAAAAGAAAUCAACCGAGAUUCCCCCAGUAGCGGCGAGCGAACGGGGAGCAGCCCAGAGCCUGAAUCAGUGUGUGUGUUAGUGGAAGCGUCUGGAAAGGCGUGCGAUACAGGGUGACAGCCCCGUACACAAAAAUGCACAUACUGUGAGCUCGAUGAGUAGGGCGGGACACGUGGUAUCCUGUCUGAAUAUGGGGGGACCAUCCUCCAAGGCUAAAUACUCCUGACUGACCGAUAGUGAACCAGUACCGUGAGGGAAAGGCGAAAAGAACCCCGGCGAGGGGAGUGAAAAAGAACCUGAAACCGUGUACGUACAAGCAGUGGGAGCACGCUUAGGCGUGUGACUGCGUACCUUUUGUAUAAUGGGUCAGCGACUUAUAUUCUGUAGCAAGGUUAACCGAAUAGGGGAGCCGAAGGGAAACCGAGUCUUAACUGGGCGUUAAGUUGCAGGGUAUAGACCCGAAACCCGGUGAUCUAGCCAUGGGCAGGUUGAAGGUUGGGUAACACUAACUGGAGGACCGAACCGACUAAUGUUGAAAAAUUAGCGGAUGACUUGUGGCUGGGGGUGAAAGGCCAAUCAAACCGGGAGAUAGCUGGUUCUCCCCGAAAGCUAUUUAGGUAGCGCCUCGUGAAUUCAUCUCCGGGGGUAGAGCACUGUUUCGGCAAGGGGGUCAUCCCGACUUACCAACCCGAUGCAAACUGCGAAUACCGGAGAAUGUUAUCACGGGAGACACACGGCGGGUGCUAACGUCCGUCGUGAAGAGGGAAACAACCCAGACCGCCAGCUAAGGUCCCAAAGUCAUGGUUAAGUGGGAAACGAUGUGGGAAGGCCCAGACAGCCAGGAUGUUGGCUUAGAAGCAGCCAUCAUUUAAAGAAAGCGUAAUAGCUCACUGGUCGAGUCGGCCUGCGCGGAAGAUGUAACGGGGCUAAACCAUGCACCGAAGCUGCGGCAGCGACGCUUAUGCGUUGUUGGGUAGGGGAGCGUUCUGUAAGCCUGUGAAGGUGUACUGUGAGGUAUGCUGGAGGUAUCAGAAGUGCGAAUGCUGACAUAAGUAACGAUAAAGCGGGUGAAAAGCCCGCUCGCCGGAAGACCAAGGGUUCCUGUCCAACGUUAAUCGGGGCAGGGUGAGUCGACCCCUAAGGCGAGGCCGAAAGGCGUAGUCGAUGGGAAACAGGUUAAUAUUCCUGUACUUGGUGUUACUGCGAAGGGGGGACGGAGAAGGCUAUGUUGGCCGGGCGACGGUUGUCCCGGUUUAAGCGUGUAGGCUGGUUUUCCAGGCAAAUCCGGAAAAUCAAGGCCGAGGCGUGAUGACGAGGCACUACGGUGCUGAAGCAACAAAUGCCCUGCUUCCAGGAAAAGCCUCUAAGCAUCAGGUAACAUCAAAUCGUACCCCAAACCGACACAGGUGGUCAGGUAGAGAAUACCAAGGCGCUUGAGAGAACUCGGGUGAAGGAACUAGGCAAAAUGGUGCCGUAACUUCGGGAGAAGGCACGCUGAUACGUAGGUGAAGCGACUUGCUCGUGGAGCUGAAAUCAGUCGAAGAUACCAGCUGGCUGCAACUGUUUAUUAAAAACACAGCACUGUGCAAACACGAAAGUGGACGUAUACGGUGUGACGCCUGCCCGGUGCCGGAAGGUUAAUUGAUGGGGUUAGCGCAAGCGAAGCUCUUGAUCGAAGCCCCGGUAAACGGCGGCCGUAACUAUAACGGUCCUAAGGUAGCGAAAUUCCUUGUCGGGUAAGUUCCGACCUGCACGAAUGGCGUAAUGAUGGCCAGGCUGUCUCCACCCGAGACUCAGUGAAAUUGAACUCGCUGUGAAGAUGCAGUGUACCCGCGGCAAGACGGAAAGACCCCGUGAACCUUUACUAUAGCUUGACACUGAACAUUGAGCCUUGAUGUGUAGGAUAGGUGGGAGGCUUUGAAGUGUGGACGCCAGUCUGCAUGGAGCCGACCUUGAAAUACCACCCUUUAAUGUUU